GAUGAACGCUGGCGGCGUGCUUAACACAUGCAAGUCGAACGGAAAGGCCCAAGCUUGCUUGGGUACUCGAGUGGCGAACGGGUGAGUAACACGGGGGUAACCUGCCCUGCACUUUGGGAUAACCUCGGGAAACUGGGUCUAAUACCGGAUAGGAGCUUGUUCUGCAUGCUAUGGGGUGAAGAUUUUCCGCUGUGGGGGGAGGACGCGGCGUUUCGCCUGUUGGUGGGGGGGUUGGGGUAUAAAGGCGCCGUGGGGUGUCGGGCCUGAGAGGGGGUAGGGCGACAGUGUGAGAGAGAUACGGCGCAGAGUCCUACGGGGGGCAGAGGAGGGGAAUAUAGCACAAUGUGGGCGAGCCUGAUGCGGCGACGCCGCGUGGGGGAUGAGGGCGUUCGGGUUGUAAACUCCUUUCGCGAGGGACGAGGCGCGUGUGUGACGGUACCUGGAGAAGAAGCACCGGCUAACUACGUG
This 468-nucleotide ribosomal RNA is filed under the name uncultured bacterium. RNAcentral describes it as "partial 16S ribosomal RNA". It matches the Rfam family "Bacterial small subunit ribosomal RNA", at positions 28 to 507 of the family's 1533-position model. The record is from RNAcentral.